Small nuclear RNA from Phyllostomus discolor (pale spear-nosed bat), 105 nucleotides. The record is from RefSeq and is a predicted model, not a curated record. Lineage: Eukaryota; Metazoa; Chordata; Mammalia; Chiroptera; Phyllostomidae.
GCUCGCUUCGGCAGCGCAUGCGCUAAAAUUGGAAUGACACAGAGAAGAUGAGCAUGGCCGCUGUGCGAGGGUGGCAUGCAAAUUUGUGAAGCGUUCCAUAUUUUU